RNAcentral lists this unclassified non-coding RNA (351 nucleotides) under soil metagenome. RNAcentral's name for it is "partial contains 5.8S ribosomal RNA, internal transcribed spacer 2, and large subunit ribosomal RNA". The stretch from base 1 to 121 matches the Rfam family "5.8S ribosomal RNA", at positions 35 to 154 of the family's 154-position model. The record is from RNAcentral.
GAUGAAGAACGCAGCGAAAUGCGAUAAGUAAUGCGAAUUGCAGAAUUUCCGUGAGUCAUCGAAUCUUUGAACGCACAUUGCGCCCACUGGUAUUCCGGCGGGCAUGCCUGUUCGAGCGUCAUUAUCCUCCCUCAAACCUCUGUGUUUGGUGUUGGGCCGCGUUGGUGUCAAAGCCAACUGGUCUCAAAGACAAUGACGGCGUCCGUGGGACCCUCUUCGCAACGAGCAUCUUCGGAAGCACGCGUCGAGUCUAAAGGACCUUCCGGGCCGGUCUACCCUUUAUCUUUCUAAGGUUGACCUCGGAUCAGGUAGGAAUACCCGCUGAACUUAAGCAUAUCAAUAAGCGGAGGA